AUCCUAGUAGCUCAGCUGGAUAGAACAACGCCCUCCUAAGGCGUAGGUCGGGGGUUCGAAUUCCUUCUGGGACGCAA
Molecule: transfer RNA, 77 nt
Filed under: Sporosarcina sp. P10
Lineage: Bacteria; Bacillati; Bacillota; Bacilli; Caryophanales; Caryophanaceae
Also listed under: 1 other name
Description: tRNA-Arg
Rfam family: tRNA
About the family: Transfer RNA (tRNA) molecules are approximately 80 nucleotides in length. Their secondary structure includes four short double-helical elements and three loops (D, anti-codon, and T loops). Further hydrogen bonds mediate the characteristic L-shaped molecular structure. tRNAs have two regions of fundamental functional importance: the anti-codon, which is responsible for specific mRNA codon recognition, and the 3' end, to which the tRNAs corresponding amino acid is attached (by aminoacyl-tRNA synthetases). tRNAs cope with the degeneracy of the genetic code in two manners: having more than one tRNA (with a specific anti-codon) for a particular amino acid; and 'wobble' base-pairing, i.e. permitting non-standard base-pairing at the 3rd anti-codon position.
Source: RNAcentral